AUUGAACGCUGGCGGCAGGCUUAACACAUGCCAGUCGAGCGGUAGCACAGGGGAGCUUGCUCCCUGGGUGACGAGCGUCGGACGGGUGAGUAAUGUCUGGGAAACUGCCUGAUGGAGGGGGAUAACUACUGGAAACGGUAGCUAAUACCGCAUAACGUCGCAAGACCAAAGAGGGGGACCUUCGGGCCUCUUGCCAUCAGAUGUGCCCAGAUGGGAUUAGCUAGUAGGUGGGGUAAUGGCUCACCUAGGCGACGAUCCCUAGCUGGUCUGAGAGGAUGACCAGCCACACUGGAACUGAGACACGGUCCAGACUCCUACGGGAGGCAGCAGUGGGGAAUAUUGCACAAUGGGCGCAAGCCUGAUGCAGCCAUGCCGCGUGUGUGAAGAAGGCCUUCGGGUUGUAAAGCACUUUCAGCGAGGAGGAAAGUGGUGAGCUUAAUACGUUCAUCAAUUGACGGUACUCGAAGAAGAAGCACCGGCUAACUCCGUG
This 490-nucleotide ribosomal RNA is filed under the name uncultured bacterium. RNAcentral describes it as "partial 16S ribosomal RNA". It matches the Rfam family "Bacterial small subunit ribosomal RNA", at positions 30 to 507 of the family's 1533-position model. The record is from RNAcentral.